MicroRNA precursor from Oryza sativa Japonica Group (Japanese rice), 205 nucleotides. It matches the Rfam family "MIR812 microRNA precursor family". The record is from Rfam. Lineage: Eukaryota; Viridiplantae; Streptophyta; Magnoliopsida; Poales; Poaceae.
AAUAAGUGCAGCUAUAAGUUUUCGCGUUCAACUUUAAUCGUCCGUUUUAUUUGAAAUUUUUUUAUAAUUAGUAUUUUUGUUCUAUGAGAUGAUAAAACAUGAAUAAUACUUUACUCGUGACUUAUGUUUUGAAUUUUUUUUAAAAAAAAUUUUAAAUAAGACGAACGGUUAAAAUUAGGCGCGGAAAACCAUAACUACACUUAUU